CUGAACCAGCCAAGUAGCGUGAAGGAUGACUGCCCUAUGGGUUGUAAACUUCUUUUACACGGGAAUAAAGUGGAGUAUGCAUACUCCUUUGUAUGUACCGUAUGAAUAAGGAUCGGCUAACUCCGUGCCAGCAGCCGCGGUAAUACGGAGGAUCCGAGCGCUAUCCGGAUUUAUUGGGUUUAAAGGGAGCGUAGGCGGGUGCUUAAGUCAGUUGUGAAAGUUUGCGG
Molecule: ribosomal RNA, 227 nt
Filed under: uncultured Bacteroides sp.
Lineage: Bacteria; Pseudomonadati; Bacteroidota; Bacteroidia; Bacteroidales; Bacteroidaceae
Description: partial 16S ribosomal RNA
Rfam family: Bacterial small subunit ribosomal RNA
Source: RNAcentral